CAUGAAUCAACAGAUGUGUGAAAUUGUUUAAGGUCGCUAAUGGAGCCCGAGUCUGGUGUGUUUGUCGGUUAGCUGUUGUUUGACCUAUUUUACGGUUUUAAAUGCAGUAUGAGGUCUGAUGUUUUCAUUUCAUAGUUUCGUGUGCAUAUAUUACUGUUUUAUUGAUUAUGGGUUGAAUGACUGAGAAACUGAUGUUGUAUGUUAUCUUGUUUGGCAUAAAUUACUGGUUUGCUUGUUUGUGUGUGAAUUAAUGAUGCUGACUGAGGAAAAGAGGAAUGAAAGGUUAUGUAAAUUGAUAAUUGUAUAAUGUGGUCAGCCUGACUAGACAUCCUGGGAGAUGGUGGAUGGACCGGGUCCGUAUGAAACCCUACCGGGAUUGUGGUCUCUCAUAU
This 392-nucleotide long non-coding RNA is filed under the name Carica papaya (papaya). RNAcentral's name for it is "long non-coding RNA (CPAP_LNC016038)". Lineage: Eukaryota; Viridiplantae; Streptophyta; Magnoliopsida; Brassicales; Caricaceae. The record is from RNAcentral.